RNAcentral lists this transfer RNA (87 nucleotides) under Candidatus Roizmanbacteria bacterium. RNAcentral describes it as "tRNA-Ser". It matches the Rfam family "tRNA". Rfam says of the family: Transfer RNA (tRNA) molecules are approximately 80 nucleotides in length. Lineage: Bacteria; Candidatus Roizmaniibacteriota. The record is from RNAcentral.
GGAGGGGUCGCAUAGUGGACUAGUGCGUACGCCUGGAAAGCGUAUGUGGUCGCAAGACUACCGCGGGUUCGAAUCCCGCCCUCUCCG